RNAcentral lists this transfer RNA (73 nucleotides) under Loxodonta africana (African savanna elephant). It matches the Rfam family "tRNA". Rfam says of the family: Transfer RNA (tRNA) molecules are approximately 80 nucleotides in length. Their secondary structure includes four short double-helical elements and three loops (D, anti-codon, and T loops). The record is from Rfam by way of RNAcentral. Lineage: Eukaryota; Metazoa; Chordata; Mammalia; Proboscidea; Elephantidae.
GUCCUGGUGGCAUAAAUGGUUUAGCACUUGGGUGCUAACCAAAAGGCUGGUGGUCUGAACCCACCCUGUGGCA